AACGAACGCUGGCGGCAUGCCUAACACAUGCCAGUCGAACGAGACCUUCGGGGCUAGUGGCGCACGGGUGCGUAACGCGUGGGAACCUGCCCUUAGGUUCGGAAUAACUCCCCGAAAGGGGUGCUAAUACCGGAUAAUGUCUUCGGACCAAAGAUUUAUCGCCUUUGGAUGGGCCCGCGUUGGAUUAGCUAGUUGGUAGGGUAAAAGCCUACCAAGGCGACGAUCCAUAGCUGGUCUGAGAGGAUGAUCAGCCACACUGGGACUGAGACACGGCCCAGACUCCUACGGGAGGCAGCAGUGGGGAAUAUUGGACAAUGGGCGAAAGCCUGAUCCAGCAAUGCCGCGUGAGUGAUGAAGGCCUUAGGGUUGUAAAGCUCUUUUACCCGGGAUGAUAAUGACAGUACCGGGAGAAUAAGCUCCGGCUAACUCCGUG
RNAcentral lists this ribosomal RNA (433 nucleotides) under uncultured bacterium. RNAcentral's name for it is "partial 16S ribosomal RNA". It matches the Rfam family "Bacterial small subunit ribosomal RNA", at positions 29 to 507 of the family's 1533-position model. The record is from RNAcentral.